UCCAAACUUGCCUUCUGCUCUCCCUUGC
Molecule: non-coding RNA, 28 nt
Filed under: Rattus norvegicus (Norway rat)
Lineage: Eukaryota; Metazoa; Chordata; Mammalia; Rodentia; Muridae
Source: RNAcentral